UACGUAGGUGGCAAGCGUUGUCCGGAUUUAUUGGGUUUAAAGGGUGCGUAGGCGGCCCUGUAAGUCAGUGCUGAAAUCUCCCGGCUUAACCGGGAGGGUGGCAUUGAUACUGCGGGGCUAGAGUACAGAUGAGGUAGGCGGAAUUGACGGUGUAGCGGUGAAAUGCUUAGAUAUCGUCAAGAACACCUAUAGCGAAGGCAGCUUACUAGGCUGUAACUGACGCUGAGGCACGAAAGUGUGGGGAGCAAACAGG
This 253-nucleotide ribosomal RNA is filed under the name uncultured bacterium. RNAcentral's name for it is "partial 16S ribosomal RNA". It matches the Rfam family "Bacterial small subunit ribosomal RNA", at positions 524 to 776 of the family's 1533-position model. The record is from RNAcentral.